This 127-nucleotide ribosomal RNA is filed under the name uncultured eukaryote. RNAcentral's name for it is "partial 18S ribosomal RNA". It matches the Rfam family "Eukaryotic small subunit ribosomal RNA", at positions 1510 to 1650 of the family's 1831-position model. The record is from RNAcentral.
GGUCAGGUAUGAUGUCCAAGAAUUGGAUUCUCCAAAACUGAUCGUAGUUGGGAUAAUAACCUGCAAUUGUGUUAUUUGAACCAGGAAUUCCUCGUAAUUACUUAUCAGAAAAAAGUAAUGAAUAUGU